UCGUCGCGCCGUCGUGUUCAUACCCCGCUGAUUCCACUUUCCCCCCGCCGUGCGCCAUCGCCAGCAGCAAUAGGCCCGCCACGCUUACAGCGUUCCUUCGCCAGAGAUGUAUCCCUAAUGGCCAAUUAUCUCUCGGGAUGGUGCACCAUCCGCCCCUACGCCCUCGGCGUGUCGCCACGAGCUACCCUGCCGGAGCUCCGCCUGACUGACGAAUCAUCAACGUUCCGGGCAAAGCUGGUCACUCAGACUCCUGCAAAUGUGAUAAUUGCUGAGCUUAUCUUGAACAAAAACCACACAAAAAGUCAGAGCAGCGUUAGAUCGUCCAAGCCUCCAAGCAUCUUCAUACCAUUCUCCUUCUCUUCAUUGGCUCCAUAUGAAAGCAGCUCCUUCCUUUUGAUCAUAGGGUGGAAGAAGUCUGAAUAGGUAUGACUCCCCUCCCAGUUUUCGUCCUCCUGUCAUUGGUUUGUUUAUGCAAAUCCGAUGACCGCCUUACUCCCGAAAAAUCACUCAACGCUGGUGAUAAGCUCGUUUCGAGCGGCGGCAUCUUUGCUCUUGGCUUCUUCACCCCGGCAAACUCAACUGCGGACACGUACAUCGGCAUAUGGUACAACAAGAUCCCUGAGCGCACUUAUGUGUGGGUCGCUAACCGCGACAAGCCGAUCAAGAAUGGUUCUCCUGGGAAGCUGGCUAUGAGCAGCGACUCUGACCUUGUCUUGUCUGACUCCCAAGGCCGAACUCUAUGGACAACCACAAACAACUUCACAUCCGCAACCACCGGAACUGCUGCUAUACUGUUUGAUUCCGGAAACUUGGUCAUCCGGUUGCCGAAUGGCACAGACAUAUGGCAGAGCUUCCAUUACCCGACUGACACCGCCCUCCCUGACAUGGUUUUACCACUGAGCACAAAUGAUGGUAUCUUGAUGCGCCUCAUUGCUUGGAGGGCCCCUGAUGACCCGGCCUCCAGCGACUACUCCAUGGGUGGUGACUCUAGCUCAGACCUUCAGGUUGUAAUCUGGAAUGGGACGAGACCGUAUUGGCGUAGAUCUGCGUGGGAUGGGUCAUUGGUCUCUGCCCUGUAUCAAAGCAACACUGGCUUCAUCGUAACUGAAACAAUUGUCGACAGAGGGGGUGAGUUAUACAUGACAUUCACCGUCUCUGAGGGCUCACCAAGCAUGCGCAUGACACUGGACUACAAAGGCACUUUUAAAUUUCUGGUCUGGAACAGCAACUCGUCAUCAUGGGAGGCUUUCAUAGAGCAUCCUAGUCCUAUCUGUGAACGCUACGCCUAUUGCGGACCAUUUGGCUACUGUGAUGCCGCUGAAACAGUUCCGAAAUGCAACUGCCUCAGUGGGUUUGAGCCUGAUGGCGUCAACUUCUCCAGAGGAUGUCGGAGAAAGGAGGAUCUGAAAUGUGGUAUUGACAAUAAUUUCUCGACCCUGAGAGGUAUGAAGACACCUGACAAGUUCUUGUAUGUCAGGAACAGAAGUUUUGACCAAUGCACAGAAGAGUGCAGACGCAAUUGCUCUUGCUCCGCAUAUGCUUAUGCUAACCUGAGAAAUGGAAGUGCUUAUGCUAACCUGAAAAAUGGAAGUGGGGCUGCGGACCAGUCAAGGUGCUUAAUUUGGUUAGGAGGACUUGUCGACACGGGGAAAUUUCGUGAUGGUGGUGGUGAGAACCUGUACCUCCGCCUUGCCAGUUCAACAGUUGACAAGGAGAGUAAGGUAUUGAAGAUUAUACUCCCAAUAGUGGCUAGUCUGCUGAUACUCGCAUCCAUCUGCCUUGUGUGGAUAUGCAAGUCAAGAGGUAAACGACGAAUCAAGGAGAUUAAGAACAAACAUACGCCACAGCACUUGCAAAAUUCCAAGUUGAACGAACUUGAGAAUGAAAGUAUAGACCUUCCAUAUAUUUGCUUUGAAGACAUUGUUACUGCAACAGACAAUUUCUCAGACUACAAAAUGCUUGGGAAAGGUGGCUUUGGAAAAGUUUACAAGGGACUAUUAGGAGGUGGUGGUAAGGAAGUUGCUGUCAAAAGGCUUAGUAAAAGUUCCGGCCAAGGGGCCGAGGAGUUCAGAAAUGAAGUUGUUCUAAUUGCCAAAUUACAGCAUAGAAACUUAGUUAGACUUCUUGGUUACUGCACUUAUGAAGAUGAGAAGUUAUUGAUAUAUGAAUACUUACCUAACAAAAGCUUGGAUGCCUUCCUUUUUGAUGCAACAAGAAAUUCUGUGCUUGAUUGGCUUACCCGGUUCAAGGUAAUUAAAGGGAUAGCAAGAGGGCUUCUUUAUCUCCACCAAGAUUCAAGGUUAACAAUAAUUCAUAGGGAUCUCAAAGCAAGCAAUGUCUUGUUAGAUGCAGAAAUGAACCCUAAAAUAUCAGAUUUUGGUAUGGCAAGGAUAUUUGGAGGAAAUGAGCAACAAGCGAACACUAUCCACGUUGUUGGGACAUAUGGUUACAUGUCUCCUGAAUAUGCAAUGGAAGGUUCCUUUUCUGUCAAGUCUGACACUUAUAGCUUUGGCGUUCUACUGUUGGAGAUUGUAAGUGGGUCAAAGAUCAGUUCAUCCCAUUUCAUGACGGACUUUACAAGCCUUAUAGCUUACGCCUGGAGCUUAUGGAAAGAUGGAAAUGCAAGAGAAUUGGUGGACUCGUCCAUUGUGGAGAACUGUCCACUUCAUGAAGUUCUACGAUGUGUUCAUAUAGGUCUCUUGUGUGUUCAAGACAAUCCAAAUGCCAGGCCGCUCAUGUCAUCCACUGUGUUCAUGCUAGAAAAUGAAACGGCUCUGCUUCCUACUCCGAAGGAGCCUCUAUACUUUAGGCAACGGUAUGAUGAGGUUGAAGACCAAAGAGAUACCAUGGGAAUAACCCUGAAUAAGAUGACUAUCACUAUGCAAGAGGGACGUUAGAUGUUUAAUUCAUUGUUCUCCUUUUUUGUAAUCUUCUCCAGUUUGUACAGGUAGAGUGGGCAAAACUUCAGGCAUGGAGAACUAUUGAAAGUUCAGGUUCAACCUGACCAGAAAAGUAAGAAAAAAGUGGGGCUUCUGUGAAUAUCUCAGUAUCUAUCAGAAAGGUAGAAAGGUCCAUUUAAGUGAUCUUGAAGCGGUAAGACCAGAAUAAAUUGCCAGCCUAACUUAUCCCGAAUCAUACAUACCUCCUCUGAAGUUUCAGACAUCACAUUAAAAUAUUUAGCCACUACAUCUGCACCACCUCUUUCAUAGUUUCAUCAUUGAGAUAGUAUUGUUUGCGCUUCAAAACAAUAAUCUUGAAGUGCGCGUGCAUACUGUCAAUUGUGAUGGCCUGGUAACUUUAGGAUUUUUUUUUCUUUUCAAAAGACGGGCCUUCAGUAUAUCCAUGGUGCUGCCGGAGAAUGAAGAUAAAGGUGCUGAAUUUGACUGUGGGUCUCCGCACGAUCUGAUGUUGUUGAACAUUGUCUUUCAUGUUGCUUUAUGAUUUCGACCAUUACACCAACUUAGGGUGUUUGAGCUGCAUUGUGGUAGCUUUCAUUGAAGGUGAAAACAGAGUUAAAUUCCAAGGUUACCAUUAGUUCUUUUUGUGGCAAGAAACAGUCAAGUUCUCUGACAAGUACACAGGCUUCGUUUGUCCCAAUAACAGGACAAUCAGAGGUUCAACUUUAUAUAUCCAUGUCACAGAAAAAAUUGGUGUGAUGAGGAGAAAUUAAUUAUAUAAUUCAUAAUAUUUUAUAUCAAUGCCACAGAAAAAACAGGACAUGUCGCCUGAAUAUGCCUUGGAAGGCAUUUUCUCUGUCAGGUCCGACACAUAUAGCUAUGGGAUCUUGCUACUGGAGAUUGUAAGUGGGCUGAAGAUCAGCUCACCUUACCAUAUUAUGAGGGAUUUCCCAAACGUUAUAGAUUACAUAAGUACAACACAACGAAUAAAAAUACUAUAACUGUUUAUGCUCGACCAUGUUUCAGGCAUGGAACUUACUGAAAGAAGGAAAAUCGGGGAUUUCCUGGAGACAGUGCUUCUGAAGAGCUGUUUACUGCAUCAAGUGUCGCUGUGCAUUCAUAUUUGGCUCUUGUGUGCCAGGCCACUCAUGUGUUGGUCGUGUCUAUGCUGGACAGUGAGGCCGUGCCACUCACAACACCAGAGCAGCCUUUGUAUUUUGUUGGAAGGAGGCAUGAAGCGGAAGAAGCAAGGGAGGACUCUGUUAACAAGGCAAGCCUGACGACGCUAGCAGGGCGUUGGAUGCUUAUUAUUCCUUGCAGUGAGGUAAUCUGUGUGCCCUGGAACAUCAAAGGGAAGCAGAUUAUGAUUAACUUCCAAGUGGGCUUUAGUGGCCAACUGCUGGUGGAGAAUCCUCUUUCCCGUUGAUAUCGUGUCCUCCUCGAAUGGUUGGUCUAAAAUUAAUACUGAUGCUUGCUCUGAUCCAUUGACUGCUCAAUCUUGUUUCGGUGCUAUCGUUCGGAACAGCGCCGGUUGGCCGGUUCUUGCUGCUUGGACUCAUUGCCCAGUAUGGAAAACUGCUGGAAGUUCAGCUUCAUCCUCAACGAAAAGUCAGAAAAGUGGGGCUUCCUUGAAUCUCCCAGUGUCUAUCAGAAAGGAAGCAGAGUCAAGUUCUAUGACAACUGACAAGUGCACAAGCUUCUUUUGCCCCAAGAACAGGACAAUCAGAGGUUCAACUUUACAUCCAUGCCACAGGAAAAUUUGCGGGCCAAGGAGAAAUUAAGUAAUACUACAUUUUAUAUAUCUCUUCCAAGUACUUUAUUGCAAUCUCCUUAAAGAUCAAUCGAUUUUAUGCCAACCAUCCCACUACGAUGUUCAGUUUCCUAUUAAAAAAAUAAAAACUGGUGCUUUACUCUUUUCAUUUCAGCAGUCAUCCACACAGAUAGACUCCGCAAGACCUAAAAGUGUAUUGGAAAUUGGUGCGAUACCACCAAAACGUAAAGCAGAGGAGAUGAGGUAUUAGCUUGUUGCUAGGGCAAAGUCUAGUUUCAGUGCAAGACUACAGUUGAGAUUCAGUCGUUUCUCGGCGUGUCGAACUUACCUGAAUUUCCGUGCCACGGUUCGCUUUCGGUUGAAUUUCAUCGCUCAUACCAGAAGAGACAUGUAUGUAGUGCUCCUGCAGCUGGGAGAGCU
This is an RNA transcript of Triticum aestivum (bread wheat), 5088 nucleotides long. It is a transcript of the gene named G-type lectin S-receptor-like serine/threonine-protein kinase B120, with no coding region annotated. NCBI's taxonomy places the organism in Eukaryota, Viridiplantae, Streptophyta, Magnoliopsida, Poales, Poaceae. The transcript has 10 exons. The record is from RefSeq and is a predicted model, not a curated record.